RNAcentral lists this ribosomal RNA (254 nucleotides) under uncultured bacterium. RNAcentral describes it as "partial 16S ribosomal RNA". It matches the Rfam family "Bacterial small subunit ribosomal RNA", at positions 524 to 776 of the family's 1533-position model. The record is from RNAcentral.
UACGUAGGGUGCGAGCGUUGUCCGGAAUUAUUGGGCGUAAAGAGCUCGUAGGCGGUGUGUCACGUCGGCCGUGAAAACCUGCAGCUUAACUGUGGGCGUGCGGUCGAUACGGGCAUCACUGGAGUUCGGCAGGGGAGACUGGAAUUCCUGGUGUAGCGGUGAAAUGCGCAGAUAUCAGGAGGAACACCGGUGGCGAAGGCGGGUCUCUGGGCCGAUACUGACGUUGAGGAGCGAAAGCGUGGGGAGCAAACAGG